RNAcentral lists this ribosomal RNA (393 nucleotides) under uncultured bacterium. RNAcentral's name for it is "partial 16S ribosomal RNA". It matches the Rfam family "Bacterial small subunit ribosomal RNA", at positions 523 to 918 of the family's 1533-position model. The record is from RNAcentral.
CUACGGAGGAUGCGAGCGUUAUCCGGAUUUAUUGGGUUUAAAGGGAGCGUAGGUGGGAUAUUAAGUCAGCUGUGAAAGUUUGGGGCUCAACCUUAAAAUUGCAGUUGAUACUGGUUUCCUUGAGUACGGUACAGGUGGGCGGAAUUCGUGGUGUAGCGGUGAAAUGCUUAGAUAUCACGAAGAACUCCGAUCGCGAAGGCAGCUCACCGGGCCGGAACUGACACUGAUGCUCGAAAGUGCGGGUAUCAAACAGGAUUAGAUACCCUGGUAGUCCGCACAGUAAACGAUGAAUACUCGCUGUUUGCGAUACACUGUAAGCGGCCAAGCGAAAGCGUUAAGUAUUCCACCUGGGGAGUACGCCGGCAACGGUGAAACUCAAAGGAAUUGACGGGG